RNAcentral lists this ribosomal RNA (492 nucleotides) under uncultured bacterium. RNAcentral describes it as "partial 16S ribosomal RNA". It matches the Rfam family "Bacterial small subunit ribosomal RNA", at positions 29 to 507 of the family's 1533-position model. The record is from RNAcentral.
AGUGAACGCUGGCGGUAGGCCUAACACAUGCAAGUCGAACGGCAGCACAGUAAGAGCUUGCUCUUACGGGUGGCGAGUGGCGGACGGGUGAGGAAUACAUCGGAAUCUACUUUUUCGUGGGGGAUAACGUAGGGAAACUUACGCUAAUACCGCAUACGACCUACGUGUGAAAGCAGGGGAUCUUCGGACCUUGCGCGAUUGAAUGAGCCGAUGUCGGAUUAGCUAGUUGGCGGGGUAAAGGCCCACCAAGGCGACGAUCCGUAGCUCGUCUGAGAGGAUGAUCAGCCACACUGGAACUGAGACACGGUCCAGACUCCUACGGGAGGCAGCAGUGGGGAAUAUUGGACAAGGGGCGCAAGCCUGAUCCAGCCAUACCGCGUGGGUGAAGAAGGCCUUCGGGUUGUAAAGCCCUUUUGUUGGGAAAGAAAAGCAGCAGGUUAAUACCCCGCUGUUCUGACGGUACCCAAAGAAUAAGCACCGGCUAACUUCGUG